UACGUAGGGCGCAAGCGUUGUCCGGAAUUAUUGGGCGUAAAGAGCUCGUAGGCGGUCUGUUACGUCCGCUGUGAAAACCCAGGGCUUAACCCUGGGCUGGCAGUGGAUACGGGCAGACUAGAGGUAGGUAGGGGAGAAUGGAAUUCCCGGUGUAGCGGUGAAAUGCGCAGAUAUCAGGAGGAACACCUAUUGCGAAGGCAGCUCGCUGGGACGUUACUGACGCUGAGACGCGAAAGCGUGGGGAGCAAACAGG
RNAcentral lists this ribosomal RNA (253 nucleotides) under uncultured bacterium. Its description in RNAcentral is "partial 16S ribosomal RNA". It matches the Rfam family "Bacterial small subunit ribosomal RNA", at positions 524 to 776 of the family's 1533-position model. The record is from RNAcentral.